RNAcentral lists this long non-coding RNA (242 nucleotides) under Elaeis guineensis (African oil palm). Its description in RNAcentral is "long non-coding RNA (EGUI_LNC002662)". Lineage: Eukaryota; Viridiplantae; Streptophyta; Magnoliopsida; Arecales; Arecaceae. The record is from RNAcentral.
CACUUUUAUUUUCUUCUUUAUCUUUAUCCUCAUCCUCCGACUCAUCGCUUUCUAUGGAUAUGGUAAUUGAUUUGAAUGCAGUGGUUCCCUUCUUUUUUGAUUCUUCUUCUUCCUCAUUUUGUACUACAAGAAAAUAAGAAUUUAGUGACCGAAAAAUUGAUUGCUCAAAAAUAAAAAUUGAUCGCUAAUAAUAUUUACGAUCAAUUUUAUGAUCGAAUAUUUUCAAUCACAAAAACCCUAGU